AGAACGAACGCUGGCGGCAGGCUUAACACAUGCAAGUCGAGCGCCCCGCAAGGGGAGCGGCAGACGGGUGAGUAACGCGUGGGAACAUACCCUCCGGUUCGGAAUAGCUCAGGGAAACUUGGAUUAAUACCGGAUACGGCCUAGCGGCGAAAGAUUCAUCGCCGGAGGAUUGGCCCGCGUCUGAUUAGCUAGUUGGUGGGGUAAUGGCCCACCAAGGCGACGAUCAGUAGCUGGUCUGAGAGGAUGAUCAGCCACAUUGGGACUGAGACACGGCCCAAACUCCUACGGGAGGCAGCAGUGGGGAAUAUUGGACAAUGGGCGCAAGCCUGAUCCAGCCAUGCCGCGUGAGUGAUGACGGCCUUAGGGUUGUAAAGCUCUUUCGCUAGGGACGAUAAUGACGGUACCUAGACAAGAAAGCCCCGGCUAACUUCGUGCCAGCAGCCGC
This 445-nucleotide ribosomal RNA is filed under the name uncultured bacterium. RNAcentral's name for it is "SSU rRNA". It matches the Rfam family "Bacterial small subunit ribosomal RNA", at positions 26 to 518 of the family's 1533-position model. The record is from RNAcentral.